CCUACGGGUGGCAGCAGUGAGGAAUAUUGGUCAAUGGACGAGAGUCUGAACCAGCCAAGUAGCGUGAAGGAUGACUGCCCUAUGGGUUUUAAACUUCUUUUAUAUGGGAAUAAAAUGUUCCUCGCGUGGCAUUUUGUAUGUACCAUAUGAAUAAGGAUCGGCUAACCCCGUGCCAGCAGCCGCGGUAAUACGGAGGAUCCGAGCGUUAUCCGGAUUUAGUGGGUUUAAAGGGAGCGUAGGUGGAUUGUUAAGUCGGUUGUGAAAGUUUGCGGCUCAAACGUAAAAUUGCAGUUGAAACUGGCAGUCUUGAGUACAGUAGAGGUGGGCGGAAUUCGUGGUGUAGCGGUGAAAUGCUUAGAUAUCACGAAGAACUCCGAUUGCGAAGGCAGUUCACUGGACUGCAACUGACACUGAGGCUCGAAAGUGUGGGUAGCAAACAGGAUUAGAUACCCCAGUAGUC
This 460-nucleotide ribosomal RNA is filed under the name uncultured bacterium. RNAcentral describes it as "partial 16S ribosomal RNA". It matches the Rfam family "Bacterial small subunit ribosomal RNA", at positions 338 to 795 of the family's 1533-position model. The record is from RNAcentral.